AAAUUGAAGAGUUUGAUCAUGGCUCAGAUUGAACGCUGGCGGCAGGCCUAACACAUGCAAGUCGAACGGUAACAGGAAACAGCUUGCUGUUUCGCUGACGAGUGGCGGACGGGUGAGUAAUGUCUGGGAAACUGCCUGAUGGAGGGGGAUAACUACUGGAAACGGUAGCUAAUACCGCAUAACGUCGCAAGACCAAAGAGGGGGACCUUCGGGCCUCUUGCCAUCGGAUGUGCCCAGAUGGGAUUAGCUUGUUGGUGGGGUAACGGCUCACCAAGGCGACGAUCCCUAGCUGGUCUGAGAGGAUGACCAGCCACACUGGAACUGAGACACGGUCCAGACU
Molecule: ribosomal RNA, 340 nt
Filed under: Escherichia coli
Lineage: Bacteria; Pseudomonadati; Pseudomonadota; Gammaproteobacteria; Enterobacterales; Enterobacteriaceae
Description: bacterial SSU rRNA
Rfam family: Bacterial small subunit ribosomal RNA
Source: RNAcentral